Molecule: long non-coding RNA, 1050 nt
Organism: Mesoplodon densirostris (Blainville's beaked whale)
Lineage: Eukaryota; Metazoa; Chordata; Mammalia; Artiodactyla; Ziphiidae
Exons: 4
Source: RefSeq, a predicted model, not a curated record
GCCACUGUUCAAGUGGCCUUCGCUGGUCGGGUGGGCGUCACCAGGAGGAUGCAGCUUUGCGCCAAAGUCAGGGAGGGCGCCCAAAGCCGCGAACAAGGUUCAGCGCCCUCCAAAGCCAACUCGGUCCUAUUCAAACCUCGCGAGCCCAUUGGAACAGCCCCCUGGGGCGGCACAUACGUAAGCCGCCUGAGUGGCGUCUCUUGGCUCCAGUGAAUGGCCUGCUUCGUGCUAGCUCUGCCCCCACCCCCCAGGAGGGAGGAAUGGCCCAGGAUGGAGGAAAUCCUGGAAGACUUCUUAGAGGAGGAGCAAACUGAUCCUUGAGGAAGGGUGCAAAGAAAUCCAUCCCACAGAGAAGAGGGAGAAAGACAUGAAAGAGUAUUAGUGGCAGGGGGACAGUGUGAAUAAAGGCCAGGAGGUUUGUAAGUGAGAAAAGGAGGAGAGAUGGACUGUGGAUGGAGCAGGAAAUGGGGAUGGAAGACCUUUCAUCUGUGAAAGGCCCUGAGUGACAGAGUCCUGGGCCUGGAUUCCCCAGGGGAAGCCGCGUGCUCCCUAACUGGACCCUCCGAGGGCUUCCGUCCUAAGUCCGAAGUAAGACUGUGGAGUUUGGAACCUUGAAGAAAGAGCGCCCUAGUUUCCACCAAAGGCCAAUCAGGAUCCUGAAAUCUGACCAAUCAGAUGAUUGGAGGUGGGGCCAUGUAGAGUAAGCCUCACCCCCAGCCUCUGCAAAAGAGGAGAGGAAAGGUUUUGCUCCAAUUCUUACAACCAGCUCCAACCUGCUGGUUGACUCCCGAAUCCCUGGGGGCUGAAAGGAUGCAGUGAGUGUUCCUCAGACAGGCCAAGCUGGUCCCUCCCACCCAGCCUUUGAUCUUGCCCGUGCUUUCUGCUUGGACAGCUCUUUCUCCUCAUCAUCACUCUGGCUGGCUCCUGAGUACCAUUCAGGUCUCAACUCAAAUGUCACCUCCUUAGAAAGGCCUUCCCAGCGCACCUAUCUGAAGCUUCAGGCAUUACUCUGUAUUGUAUUAUCCUUUUGUAUUUUUAUUAUUUGUUAAA